This 1428-nucleotide long non-coding RNA is filed under the name Scleropages formosus (Asian bonytongue). Its description in RNAcentral is "lncRNA (ENSSFOG00015029178.1)". Lineage: Eukaryota; Metazoa; Chordata; Actinopteri; Osteoglossiformes; Osteoglossidae. The record is from RNAcentral.
AUGCAGAUAAAGGAAUCAUUACCCAACCUCAACCAAGCCCCUAAGAUAACAGAGGAAACACUAGGAAAAACAGUGUUCAACAGAACUGAUCAAGACAACAGACCUGCUCCAUCAAUCGAAGAUGCAAUGUUUAUGGAAAAGAUGGAUACUGAAGUCUACCGAAACAGUAAGGAUACCUGGGUAGCACCACUUCCGUUUAAGGAGCCACGACCGCACCUUCCUAACAAUAAAGAGCAGGCUGUUAAGAGAUUCAUGUCACUGCAGAAAAUGCUCAAAGGGAACCCCGUAAUGCAGAAACAGUACUUUGCAUUCAUGGACAAAAUCUUUCAAAAUGGACACGCUGAAGUAGCACCACCACUAAGGGACAAUGAGGAAUGCUGGUUCCUUCCUACAUUUGGAGUAUAUCAUCCUCGGAAGCCCGACCAGAUUAGGGUGGUGUUCGAUUCAAGCUCACAAUACCAAGGAAUCUCCCUAAAUGAUGUAUUACUGACUGGCCCAGAUUUAAACAACACGUUGAUCGGUGUUCCGCUCCACUUUCGCAAGGAGAAAGUAGCCGUGUUAGCAGACAUUCAGCAAAUGUUCUACUGUUUUGAGGUAAGCGAGAACCAUCAAAACUUUCUUAGAUUCCUAUGGUACGAAGAAAAUAUCAACAAAAACAUCAUUGACUAUCGAAUGAAAGUUCAUGUUUUCGGCAAUAGUCCUUUGCCUGCCGUCGCCAUCUACGGGCUGAGAAGAGCCAUUAGCGAAGGUGCACCACAUUAUGGCGAUGAUACUGUUCAGUUUGUGGAAAGACAUUUCUAUGUCGAUGAUGGUCUCAUAUCUGUACCAACUGAUCACGAAGCAAUUGACCUGCUUAAAAGGACACAGGCCUCUCUAGCGGAAUCAAACCUUCGCCUUCACAAGUUCACCACAAACAGUCAGAGCGUCUUAAAGGCCUUAUCCCCAGAAGACUGUGCAACAACUGUCAAGGACUUAGACCUCAGCGGAGAGACACAAUCCAUCCAGCGCAGUUUGGGCCUCCUGUGGGAGAUAUCAACAGACACCUUUACCUUUUCUGUAUCAACAGAUACAAAGCCCUUCACUCGUCGUGGUGUGUUAUCCACUGUACACAGCAUUUUUGACCCUCUAGGUCUGCUGGCCCCUGUCACUGUCUGUGGGAGAGCCCUUCUUAGAGAGCUCACUGCUGACCUCCCCGAUUGGGACACUCCUCUCCCAGAAGAAAAACGUGAUAAGUGGGACUCAUGGCGCGAAUCGCUUCACGAUCUCAAGCAGAUGCACAUACCACGAACCUAUACGGACAUGUCACUUUGCAACAGUGAGCACAUUGAGCUUAGUGUGUUCUCAGACGCCUCGACAAAGGCAAUUGGAACCGUUGCAUAUCUCAAGACCGUUCAAAAAGAUGGUCACACUGAGAUCGGAUUUCUCUAG